GACGAACGCUGGCGGCGUGCCUAAUACAUGCAAGUGGGACGCAAGGAAACACACUGUGCUUGCACACCGUGUUUUCUUGAGUCGCGAACGGGUGAGUAACGCGUAGGUAACCUGCCUAUUAGCGGGGGAUAACUAUUGGAAACGAUAGCUAAUACCGCAUAAUAUUAAUUAUUGCAUGAUAAUUGAUUGAAAGAUGCAAGCGCAUCACUAUUAGAUGGACCUGCGUUGUAUUAGCUAGUUGGUAAGGUAAGAGCUUACCAAGGCGACGAUACAUAGCCGACCUGAGAGGGUGAUCGGCCACACUGGGACUGAGACACAGCCCAGACACCUACGGGAGGCAGCAGUAGGGAAUCUUCGACAAGGGACGAAAGUCUGACCGAGCAACGCCGCGUGAGUGAAGAAGGUUUUCGGAUCGUAAAGCUCUGUUGUAAGUCAAGAACGUGUGUGAGAGUGGAAAGUUCACACAGUGACGGUAGCUUACCAGAAAGGGACGGCUAACUACGUG
RNAcentral lists this ribosomal RNA (505 nucleotides) under uncultured bacterium. RNAcentral's name for it is "partial 16S ribosomal RNA". It matches the Rfam family "Bacterial small subunit ribosomal RNA", at positions 28 to 507 of the family's 1533-position model. The record is from RNAcentral.